UGGUGAAGUGUUGGCUUAAUGCUGCUUCCGUGUGUCUGCAAACCUGAUUAAUACUAAUCUAUAUUAUAUACCUUAAUUGUAUUGGAUUGCUCAAAGGAGGGGACAGGCAGAUGCCAAAUUAUGCCUGUGAAGUUAGUAUCUCAUUUCAAGGUUUCUGCUCGAGAAACAGGGAUCUUUCUGUGUGCAGGAGAACAGUGUGAGGUUAUAGUGGAGCACGAGCAAAAUCUCAUUAGCUCCACAAGCGGAGAGGGAAGGAAGACUAAAUAUUAUUAGAUUAAUCUAAUGACAAACAGCAGCAUUUUCAUUUGUGGUAUAAACAGAAUUCAAUAAGAAAUACAACAGGAAAAGCAGCAUAGAACCUUCAGUCAUGAAUAGUCCACUCAGUUCACGUCUGUAUUAAAUAGCACAAUUAUUUCCAAAGAGAAAUCACUGUAUGUUGAUGAUGAUGUGGAAAAAGCUUGCUGACAGUGGAAGAUAUCAGCUGAGAUGUUCUGAUGUUUUACAAAAGUACAAGAAAGAUUAUUUUCUUCAUUACCAGUAGGAGCUAUUUCUGGUUCCCACUCAGGUAAAUACAGACCCGUGUCAUGUCUAUGAUUUUCUUACAAAGUAAAUAAGAACAUUUAUAUAAACUACUAACUUCUACCUUAAGUUUAUUUUGAUUUUGAUUUUUAAAAAAAUCUGAAAUGUGUUUGAUGCUCACAGGUGAAUGCAUAAAAACUGAGCUUUGUACAACAGCUCACCUGUCACCUGGUGUGUUGGUAAGGUUAACACACGCAGACACACACAAACUCACACACCAACACACCAACACACACAGGCCCACUGCUCUGCUUUGGACUGCGAGCCAAGUUUGAGACAAAGUCCAUAGCCCUCCACUGGGUUAUCAAACUGUGGCCAAGGCAUGCAUCCAUCUGUGGAAAACAUGGAGACUGUUCUCCCACACUGCACAGCUCAGCCUUUAUCUACAGAUGGUACUACUGAGCAGGAAUGUGACCUUUGAUUUAGUUUCUCACACGGAAAAGGGCUUACCAAUGAAAAGUGGGAGAGGAUUUUUCUUGCCUCCCAAACUGGACAAAUGAGCACAUGGUUGUUUGCAUGGCAAAGAUUUGUUUAACGCAAUUUAAAAAUUUAGAUAAGUGUCCAGUGUAAGUGUCUUCAUGUGAGGCCCAUUUGAGUGGAUGUGCGAGGGAGGGGUGGAUUCCUACCAUUAAUACAAAUGCAUCAGCUACUCCAUGUGGUGUGCGAGGAUGUGUGCAGCUGCGGAAAAGCACAAAGUGCUCACCGGCAGAGGCAGUCAGAAAAACAGGAUUUCACUUAAAAUACGAUCAACUGCGUAGAUUAUCAGCCGCCUCCGAUACGCAGCUCCGCGGCCGAGUGAAUGGUGUGAUUGUGCGGUGAUGUUGUGAAGUGUACCGGGUUGGUUACUUCAGCUCUGCUUCACUUCUGAACCUUGACCACAUAGCUAGCAGGCAGAGGGGGAUUUGUUCAUAUCUGCAAAGAUGCUGGCCGAGUGAGCUGGGACAACAGUGGCUUGUUCUCGCCUUUUGUACAGCGGGGCAGCUUCCUUGAGAGCAGCCAGCAGUACUAAAUGGAAAAUCAGCAUGGGAGCACUGGUGCAACAUUAUGCACAAUGUACAUUCCAAUUACACCAUGCUGUUCGCAUUAACAUACAUCAGCAGAACGCAGACUUUUGUGAUAUAACAGCCCGAGGAGUGACCCAAGUGCAGGGCGGUGAAUAACCCCAUAACUCUGAGCGCGGGGUGUCGUGUUUGCAGAAAAGUCUCGUUUAAAAAAGACAGCUUCCAGAGUCACAGCAAAAACAAAUUUGUGGUCACUGUUAUGUAAGGAAUGUGUCCAUGUAUUUUUUAUGCAGGUGAGCCCCUGCUCUGCUCUGAGGGCCCCUGAUGGAGGAGUGACUGCAUGAGUCUACUGGAUGCCAGAACACUCUUCUGCAGCUCUGCCAAGCAGCAGAUGAAUGUGGCUGUUAAGCCAUGGAGAUGUCACCUUUCAGCAGGAAGCCCAGGAUGAGACGCUGAGCGAGGACUUUGUUCCACCUGGAUGCAUGGCAGAGUGCUGAGUGCAGGGCUGCUGACCCAGGCACCGCUUCAUUUCAACCUCAGCAGCCGCCCUGAGACUUGGUCUUUGCCCCAGCCACAGACACAGUACCUCUACAAAAGCCAGCUUCUGCUCACACUACUAAAGGUCACUGCCUACAGUGUAGAUACCACCAACGAGCCAGGAGUGAUUCCUCUCCAGCCCCCCUAUUUGGAUCCCACCCAGAGCCAGGUGUUAUACUGAUAAUUGGCCCACACUGUGGAUUUUUGUUUUGCACUUGACUGAACCGCUACCCUCGCAUUAACGGACAGAAACAUGGUCACAGUACCAGU
Molecule: long non-coding RNA, 2387 nt
Organism: Stegastes partitus (bicolor damselfish)
Lineage: Eukaryota; Metazoa; Chordata; Actinopteri; Pomacentridae
Exons: 3
Source: RefSeq, a predicted model, not a curated record